Long non-coding RNA from Vicia villosa (hairy vetch), 257 nucleotides. RefSeq lists it as uncharacterized. The record is from RefSeq and is a predicted model, not a curated record. NCBI's taxonomy places the organism in Eukaryota, Viridiplantae, Streptophyta, Magnoliopsida, Fabales, Fabaceae. The transcript is spliced from 3 exons.
GAUUCAUGUCCACCGGCAAUACAGAAAGUCUGCAUCUUUGGGCGUAUAAUACCCGACCAGUAGGAGCACACUGGUUGCUGCUUGCUAUCAACCCUAUAAGGGAAGUCGUGUAUUAUCUGAAUUCGGUAAAUGGUGAAUGGACCAAUUAUCCGGCUAUGAAGGACAUCGUUGAUUUAUCAAUACAAGUGUUCCGAAGUCAACGGGACGCACAGGUAUCCCGGACUAAAUCUAACAACAUUACUUGGAUCCAAGUGCAG